UUUCGCACCUGGUUGAUACGAUCGUGAGUUCCCACUUUGAAAAUUCGUAUUUUGGCGCGAAGUCUGUUUAUCCGGCCCAAACCGAGCUCGCUCGAUCGUGCGUUCAUCGAAUAACCAAUAGAAACGCGUUGUGGUUCAAAUUGGAAUCAGUUGCGUCGUGGCAAACGUCAACAUGGCCACGUUCCAUGACCCCGCGACCGGACGGCGAAUGCAAUUAACAGAUGAUCUCGUCCUCGAACUGCUUCAAGAACAAUUUCCGUUCUGAUCUGUACUUGGACGAAGAUUUUUACCGGUGUAUGGGAUUAUCACGUGUAGACUACCCCGUACACGGCCGCUGUCCAUUGUCCACUGGCCCUGGGUUUACUUUGUCAGAAUUUGUUUCAAACUUCUGGAGAAAAGUAACAACGAAGUCGCGUGGGCGCACGAAAAAUAAAAAGUUUUCUGAAUAAUCCCAAUAAUAAUAUUAAUUGGUUCACAGAACUGUGAUAUAAUGUACCUUGUUAAGUGUUAAGUACAAUAAAUAGUUGAUUUUGAUUUAAAA
Molecule: long non-coding RNA, 541 nt
Filed under: Pectinophora gossypiella (pink bollworm)
Lineage: Eukaryota; Metazoa; Arthropoda; Insecta; Lepidoptera; Gelechiidae
Description: uncharacterized LOC126369752
Source: RNAcentral